AGUGAACGCUGGCGGUAGGCCUAACACAUGCAAGUCGAACGGCAGCACAGUAAGAGCUUGCUCUUACGGGUGGCGAGUGGCGGACGGGUGAGGAAUACAUCGGAAUCUACUUUUUCGUGGGGGAUAACGUAGGGAAACUUACGCUAAUACCGCAUACGACCUACGGGUGAAAGCAGGGGAUCUUCGGACCUUGCGCGAUUGAAUGAGCCGAUGUCGGAUUAGCUAGUUGGCGGGGUAAAGGCCCACCAAGGCGACGAUCCGUAGCUGGUCUGAGAGGAUGAUCAGCCACACUGGAACUGAGGCAAGGUCCAGACUCCUAAGGGAGGCAGCAGUGGGGAAUAUUGGACAAUGGGCGCAAGCCUGAUCCAGCCAUACCGCGUGGGUGAAGAAGGCCUUCGGGUUGUAAAGCCCUUUUGUUGGGAAAGAAAAGCAGCAGGUUAAUACCCCGCUGUUCUGACGGUACCCAAAGAAUAAGCACCGGCUAACUUCGUG
This 492-nucleotide ribosomal RNA is filed under the name uncultured bacterium. RNAcentral's name for it is "partial 16S ribosomal RNA". It matches the Rfam family "Bacterial small subunit ribosomal RNA", at positions 29 to 507 of the family's 1533-position model. The record is from RNAcentral.